Molecule: long non-coding RNA, 424 nt
Filed under: Olea europaea subsp. europaea
Lineage: Eukaryota; Viridiplantae; Streptophyta; Magnoliopsida; Lamiales; Oleaceae
Source: RNAcentral
CUCUUAUAUCCAAUACUUUUACAUGAAAAUAAAAAAAAGUAGCGUUCUUUAGAUAACAAAGAAAUACAAUCUAUCACAUCAAAAUAAAUACUGCCCCAAUUAAGUCAUUAAUUACAAAUAAACACAGUGUCUGGUGGGGACAGUCCAAAUGUGCACAAGUAAUUUCUAAAAUUUCAACAAAAUAAGCAAAGAGAACAGAAAAUUAUAAAAUAUUUUAGGCUGAAGAAAUUGCCUUCUCACCAUCCCUCCACGGACAGAAUCGCAGUAACGCUUCUCCCAUUGCAUAAAUUCCCAAUCAUCCAGCGGUCUUCCUUUGAUUAACUUGUUCACCUCAACAUGCUGCAACAUACAAAUACAAUAACAUAAAAUCAUUCAUCCACCAAAAGAGUCGGGAUUGUUACGCCUAUAAAUUGUCACUCCAUAU